UACGGGGGGGGCAAGCGUUGUUCGGAAUUACUGGGCGUAAAGGGCUCGUAGGCGGCCAACUAAGUCAGACGUGAAAUCCCCAGGCUCAACCUGGGAACUGCGUCUGAUACUGGAUGGCUUGAAUUCGGGAGAGGGAUGCAGAAUUCCAGGUGUAGCGGUGAAAUGCGUAGAUAUCUGGAGGAAUACCGGUGGCGAAGGCGGCAUCCUGGACCGACAUUGACGCUGAGGAGCGAAAGCUAGGGAGCAAACGGG
RNAcentral lists this ribosomal RNA (252 nucleotides) under uncultured bacterium. Its description in RNAcentral is "partial 16S ribosomal RNA". It matches the Rfam family "Bacterial small subunit ribosomal RNA", at positions 524 to 776 of the family's 1533-position model. The record is from RNAcentral.